Molecule: ribosomal RNA, 253 nt
Filed under: uncultured bacterium
Lineage: Bacteria
Description: partial 16S ribosomal RNA
Rfam family: Bacterial small subunit ribosomal RNA
Source: RNAcentral
UACGUAGGGGGCUAGCGUUGUCCGGAAUCAUUGGGCGUAAAGCGCGUGUAGGCGGCCCGGUAAGUCCGCUGUGAAAGUCGGGGGCUCAACCCUCGAAUGCCGGUGGAUACUGUCGGGCUCGAGUACGGAAGAGGCGAGUGGAAUUCCUGGUGUAGCGGUGAAAUGCGCAGAUAUCAGGAGGAACACCAAUAGCGAAGGCAGCUCGCUGGGACGGUAUUGACGCUAAGGCGCGAAAGCGUGGGGAGCAAACAGG